UGGCUCUCGCAUCGAUGAAGAACGCAGCGAAAUGCGAUAAGUAAUGUGAAUUGCAGAAUUCAGUGAAUCAUCGAAUCUUUGAACGCACCUUGCGCUCCUUGGUAUUCCGAGGAGCAUGCCUGUUUGAGUGUCUUGAAAUCAUCAAUCCCCCGGAUUCGCGUCCGGAGGCUUGGACUUGGGGGUCUUUGCUGCGUUUCGGCGCGGCUCCCCUUAAAUGCAUCGGUUGUGGCCCGUUCGGCUUCAGUCCUCGGCGUUGUAUUCACCUCGCCCCGCGUCUCGUCGGCAGUGCCCUUCCCCGACCGCCUCUGGAGCGGCGGUCAACACAUAUUUGAAAUCUGACCUCAAAUCAGGUAGGACUACCCGCUGA
This 367-nucleotide unclassified non-coding RNA is filed under the name uncultured fungus. RNAcentral's name for it is "partial contains 5.8S ribosomal RNA and internal transcribed spacer 2". The stretch from base 1 to 133 matches the Rfam family "5.8S ribosomal RNA", at positions 22 to 154 of the family's 154-position model. Lineage: Eukaryota; Fungi. The record is from RNAcentral.